AUUAGAAAAGGUCAUCACACUAAUCCUAAACUGUACUAGGGGUAGGGAGAGAUGCAACUGGCAAGGCUAAUUUUGUCAUGUGGCAUGCAAGGGCAUGUGGCAAGCCAGUGGUCCCACCUUAUCUUGGCUAAGAGCCUAUAAUCCUUGGUUAUGGUCAGAUGUAGGGGGAAGGGAGGACUCACACUAAAAAUCACCAUGAAGUUAAAUGUAUUCAAGAGCAAGCCUUCAAGUUUCCCUAGCCAUAAAGAGUUCCGGAAUGCUAUGGCAGACUUGCUGAAUUAUCCUCCUCCUCAUCGCUUGCAUUCAGAAGCUUUGGUGACCAGCUACGUUGUUUGGCAGCGGGCUAAAGGGAUCACAAUUGCACAGAGCAAGGAGCAUGCUGAACAGUGAUGUUCCAGUUUAAAAGGACAGAGCUGCAAACAAAGGGAUUGCUGGCUAUUCCUGACAAGUGGUGACCCCGUUGUAAUCAUCUUGCCACAGACCACUGAAUGGACCACCUGAAAAUGAAAAGUUUGGGCACAUGUCCUCUACUAACUACUUAAGCUACAAAAUUGGAUAAUUUCCCCUUGUAAAAUUUUUCUAGUGCCCUCCAGGG
Molecule: long non-coding RNA, 595 nt
Organism: Mustela erminea (ermine)
Lineage: Eukaryota; Metazoa; Chordata; Mammalia; Carnivora; Mustelidae
Exons: 4
Source: RefSeq, a predicted model, not a curated record